UACGUAGGGUGCGAGCGUUAAUCGGAAUUACUGGGCGUAAAGGGCUUGUAGGCGGCCUGUUAAGUCGAACGUGAAAUCCCCGGGCUCAACCCGGGAACUGCGUCCGAUACUGGCAGGCUUGAAUCCGGGAGAGGGAUGCGGAAUUCCAGGUGUAGCGGUGAAAUGCGUAGAUAUCUGGAGGAACACCGGUGGCGAAGGCGGCAUCCUGGACCGGCAUUGACGCUGAGGCGCGAAAGCCAGGGGAGCAAACGGG
This 253-nucleotide ribosomal RNA is filed under the name uncultured bacterium. RNAcentral's name for it is "partial 16S ribosomal RNA". It matches the Rfam family "Bacterial small subunit ribosomal RNA", at positions 524 to 776 of the family's 1533-position model. The record is from RNAcentral.